GUGGGGAAUUUUGGACAAUGGGCGCAAGCCUGAUCCAGCCAUGCCGCGUGUGGGAAGAAGGCCUUCGGGUUGUAAACCACUUUUGUCAGGGAAGAAACGGUCUGAACUAAUAUUUUGGACUAAUGACGGUACCUGAAGAAUAAGCACCGGCUAACUACGUGCCAGCAGCCGCGGUAAUACGUAGGGUGCAAGCGUUAAUCGGAAUUACUGGGCGUAAAGCGUGCGCAGGCGGCCAUGCAAGACAGAUGUGAAAUCCCCGGGCUCAACCUGGGAACUGCAUUUGUGACUGCAUGGCUAGAGUACGGUAGAGGGGGAUGGAAUUCCGCGUGUAGCAGUGAAAUGCGUAGAUAUGCGGAGGAACACCGAUGGCGAAGGCAAUCCCCUGGACCUGUACUGACGCUCAUGCACGAAAGCGUGGGGAGCAAACAGG
Molecule: ribosomal RNA, 430 nt
Filed under: uncultured Rhizobacter sp.
Lineage: Bacteria; Pseudomonadati; Pseudomonadota; Betaproteobacteria; Burkholderiales; Sphaerotilaceae
Description: bacterial SSU rRNA
Rfam family: Bacterial small subunit ribosomal RNA
Source: RNAcentral